UACAGAGGGUGCGAGCGUUGUUCGGAAUUACUGGGCGUAAAGCGCGCGCAGGCGGCCUUUUAAGUCUCGUGGUGAAAUGCCGGGGCUCAACCCCGUGCCCGCCGGAGAUACUGGGAGGCUGGAGACGAGUAGAGGCAAGCGGAAUUCCGGGUGUAGCGGUGGAAUGCGUAGAGAUCCGGAAGAACACCGGAGGCGAAGGCGGCUUGCUGGGCUCGGUCUGACGCUGAGGCGCGAAAGCGUGGGGAGCGAACAGG
This 254-nucleotide ribosomal RNA is filed under the name uncultured bacterium. Its description in RNAcentral is "partial 16S ribosomal RNA". It matches the Rfam family "Bacterial small subunit ribosomal RNA", at positions 524 to 776 of the family's 1533-position model. The record is from RNAcentral.